RNAcentral lists this ribosomal RNA (1622 nucleotides) under Escherichia coli. RNAcentral describes it as "partial 23S ribosomal RNA". It matches the Rfam family "Bacterial large subunit ribosomal RNA", at positions 1 to 1658 of the family's 2925-position model. The record is from RNAcentral. Lineage: Bacteria; Pseudomonadati; Pseudomonadota; Gammaproteobacteria; Enterobacterales; Enterobacteriaceae.
GGGUUGUGAGGUUAAGCGACUAAGCGUACACGGUGGAUGCCCUGGCAGUCAGAGGCGAUGAAGGACGUGCUAAUCUGCGAUAAGCGUCGGUGAGGUGAUAUGAACCGUUAUAACCGGCGAUUUCCGAAUGGGGAAACCCAGUGUGUUUCGACACACUAUCAUUAACUGAAUCCAUAGGUUAAUGAGGCGAACCGGGGGAACUGAAACAUCUAAGUACCCCGAGGAAAAGAAAUCAACCGAGAUUCCCCCAGUAGCGGCGAGCGAACGGGGAGGAGCCCAGAGCCUGAAUCAGUGUGUGUGUUAGUGGAAGCGUCUGGAAAGGCGCGCGAUACAGGGUGACAGCCCCGUACACAAAAAUGCACAUAUUGUGAGCUCGAUGAGUAGGGCGGGACACGUGGUAUCCUGUCUGAAUAUGGGGGGACCAUCCUCCAAGGCUAAAUACUCCUGACUGACCGAUAGUGAACCAGUACCGUGAGGGAAAGGCGAAAAGAACCCCGGCGAGGGGAGUGAAAAAGAACCUGAAACCGUGUACGUACAAGCAGUGGGAGCCUCUUUAUGGGGUGACUGCGUACCUUUUGUAUAAUGGGUCAGCGACUUAUAUUCUGUAGCAAGGUUAACCGAAUAGGGGAGCCGAAGGGAAACCGAGUCUUAACUGGGCGUUAAGUUGCAGGGUAUAGACCCGAAACCCGGUGAUCUAGCCAUGGGCAGGUUGAAGGUUGGGUAACACUAACUGGAGGACCGAACCGACUAAUGUUGAAAAAUUAGCGGAUGACUUGUGGCUGGGGGUGAAAGGCCAAUCAAACCGGGAGAUAGCUGGUUCUCCCCGAAAGCUAUUUAGGUAGCGCCUCGUGAAUUCAUCUCCGGGGGUAGAGCACUGUUUCGGCAAGGGGGUCAUCCCGACUUACCAACCCGAUGCAAACUGCGAAUACCGGAGAAUGUUAUCACGGGAGACACACGGCGGGUGCUAACGUCCGUCGUGAAGAGGGAAACAACCCAGACCGCCAGCUAAGGUCCCAAAGUCAUGGUUAAGUGGGAAACGAUGUGGGAAGGCCCAGACAGCCAGGAUGUUGGCUUAGAAGCAGCCAUCAUUUAAAGAAAGCGUAAUAGCUCACUGGUCGAGUCGGCCUGCGCGGAAGAUGUAACGGGGCUAAACCAUGCACCGAAGCUGCGGCAGCGACACUAUGUGUUGUUGGGUAGGGGAGCGUUCUGUAAGCCUGUGAAGGUGGCCUGUGAGGGUUGCUGGAGGUAUCAGAAGUGCGAAUGCUGACAUAAGUAACGAUAAAGCGGGUGAAAAGCCCGCUCGCCGGAAGACCAAGGGUUCCUGUCCAACGUUAAUCGGGGCAGGGUGAGUCGACCCCUAAGGCGAGGCCGAAAGGCGUAGUCGAUGGGAAACAGGUUAAUAUUCCUGUACUUGGUGUUACUGCGAAGGGGGGACGGAGAAGGCUAUGUUGGCCGGGCGACGGUUGUCCCGGUUUAAGCGUGUAGGCUGGUUUUCCAGGCAAAUCCGGAAAACCAAGGCUGAGGCGUGAUGACGAGGCACUACGGUGCUGAAGCGACAAAUGCCCUGCUUCCAGGAAAAGCCUCUAAGCAUCAGGUAACAUCAAAUCGUACCCCAAACCGAC